Molecule: long non-coding RNA, 517 nt
Organism: Carassius auratus (goldfish)
Lineage: Eukaryota; Metazoa; Chordata; Actinopteri; Cypriniformes; Cyprinidae
Exons: 3
Source: RefSeq, a predicted model, not a curated record
UCAGAUUGAUUGCUGCUUCUUACUUGCAUUUUUCAUAUUUAAAGUACAUUCUAGUUAAAAAUUUAAAAUUACAAAUUUCAUAUUUAAAUGUUGAUCUCAUCCAUCAAUGAUGAAUAUGCUUCAACUUUUUCUGUGUAUGGAUUUUGUGAAUAAGCACUACAGAAUAAUACAAGUUAAUUUAAAGUAUAUUAUUGUUUAUUUUAUUUGGAUUUUUAUUAUUAUUAUGAUUAUUAUUUGUAUUUUUUUUAUUUUUUUUGCCACCCCCCCCAUAAUCCCACGCCCAAACAUAAUGCAACACGGUGACAUCGCGCUAUUGCGCCAUUUUGCGACUACUUGGCGGUCUUUUUUGGAUCGGCAGGCAUCAGUUUAUCAGGCGGCCUGCGGUGCACUUACAGCUCAAACUGUGAAGCCAUAUUGUUGUAAGGUUGAUGAAAAAUGAGGUCAUGGCCUGUUUCAGUAUGAAGUGGGGGAAGGAAGCUUGCUUUCACCAAGAUCAAUCUGUACACUGUUGUCACAG